This 189-nucleotide ribosomal RNA is filed under the name uncultured bacterium. RNAcentral describes it as "partial 16S ribosomal RNA". It matches the Rfam family "Bacterial small subunit ribosomal RNA", at positions 338 to 524 of the family's 1533-position model. The record is from RNAcentral.
CCUACGGGAGGCAGCAGUGAGGAAUAUUGGUCAAUGGGCGAAAGCCUGAACCAGCCAUGUCGCGUGAAGGAUGAAGGUCCUAUGGAUUGUAAACUUCUUUUGCAGGAGGGUAAAGUGAGCUACGUGUAGUUCAUUGCAAGUACCCUGCGAAUAAGCAUCGGCUAACUCCGUGCCAGCAGCCGCGGUAAU